AGUGAACGCUGGCGGUAGGCCUAACACAUGCAAGUCGAACGGCAGCACAGUAAGAGCUUGCUCUUACGGGUGGCGAGUGGCGGACGGGUGAGGAAUACAUCGGAAUCUACUUUUUCGUGGGGGAUAACGUAGGGAAACUUACGCUAAUACCGCAUACGACCUACGGGUGAAAGCAGGGGAUCUUCGGACCUUGCGCGAUUGAAUGAGCCGAUGUCGGAUUAGCUAGUUGGCGGGGUAAAGGCCCACCAAGGCGACGAUCCGUAGCUGGUCUGAGAGGAUGAUCAGCCACACUGGAACUGAGAGCCGGUCCAGACUCCUACGGGAGGCAGCAGUGGGGAAUAUUGGACAAUGGGCGAAAGCCUGAUCCAGCCAUACCGCGUGGGUGAAGAAGGCCUUCGGGUUGUAAAGCCCUUUUGUUGGGAAAGAAAAGCAGCAGGUUAAUACCCCGCUGUUCUGACGGUACCCAAAGAAUAAGCACCGGCUAACUUCG
RNAcentral lists this ribosomal RNA (490 nucleotides) under uncultured bacterium. RNAcentral describes it as "partial 16S ribosomal RNA". It matches the Rfam family "Bacterial small subunit ribosomal RNA", at positions 29 to 505 of the family's 1533-position model. The record is from RNAcentral.